UACGAAGGUGGCAAGCGUUGUUCGGAUUUACUGGGCGUAAAGGGAGCGUAGGUGGUUAGGUAAGCCCUCCGGGAAAUCUUCAGGCUUAACCUGAAAAGGUCGGGGGGGACUGCCUGGCUAGAGGACGGGAGAGGAGCGCGGAAUUCCCGGUGUAGCGGUGAAAUGCGUAGAGAUCGGGAGGAACACCUGUGGCGAAGGCGGCUUUCUGGGCCUUACCUGACGCUGAGACGCGAAAGCGUGGGGAGCGAACCGG
RNAcentral lists this ribosomal RNA (253 nucleotides) under uncultured bacterium. Its description in RNAcentral is "partial 16S ribosomal RNA". It matches the Rfam family "Bacterial small subunit ribosomal RNA", at positions 524 to 776 of the family's 1533-position model. The record is from RNAcentral.